GAAAUGCGAUAAGUAAUGUGAAUUGCAGAAUUCAGUGAAUCAUCGAAUCUUUGAACGCACAUUGCGCCCGCCAGUAUUCUGGCGGGCAUGCCUGUCCGAGCGUCAUUUCAACCAUCAAGCCCCCGGGCUUGUGUUGGGGACCUGCGGCUGCCCACAGGCCCUGAAAACCAGUGGCGGGCUCGCUGUCACACCGAGCGUAGUAGCAAUCACCUCGCUCAGGGCGUGCUGCGGGUUCCGGCCGUUAAACAGCCUUACAAAACCCAAGGUUGACCUCGGAUCAGGUAGGAAGACCCGCUGAACUUAAGC
RNAcentral lists this unclassified non-coding RNA (306 nucleotides) under plant metagenome. Its description in RNAcentral is "partial contains 5.8S ribosomal RNA, internal transcribed spacer 2, and large subunit ribosomal RNA". The stretch from base 1 to 105 matches the Rfam family "5.8S ribosomal RNA", at positions 50 to 154 of the family's 154-position model. The record is from RNAcentral.